GGGCCCGUAGUUUAGUAGAAAAACAUGGCUCUUAUGAAGCCAAGCCCAGCGUGCAAAUCGCUGCGGGCCUA
Non-coding RNA from Baffinella frigidus, 71 nucleotides. The record is from the annotation of a GenBank genome assembly. Lineage: Eukaryota; Cryptophyceae; Cryptomonadales; Baffinellaceae.